Long non-coding RNA from Felis catus (domestic cat), 1661 nucleotides. RefSeq lists it as uncharacterized. The transcript is spliced from 10 exons. NCBI's taxonomy places the organism in Eukaryota, Metazoa, Chordata, Mammalia, Carnivora, Felidae. The record is from RefSeq and is a predicted model, not a curated record.
CGACUGCCCUUCCGUCGUCCGGGAGGCGGGGGGCGGGGAUUAUUACUGCCAGCACCGGGUGAAGUACACGUGGGACGUCGUCAAAGCCCCUCCGAGGCCCCGACCCCUGACGCGCACCUUCCGGGCAGCCCCGCCCCCACGUGCCUCCCUGCCGCGCAGCUGCGGUGGGCGCCUUCCUUCCUUCACGUUCGCACACUCCUUUCACCUGCCGAGGAAAGGAAAGAGCCCCACGACGUUUAGAGAUUUAGCAUGGAGUCUGAAAUGGGGAAAAUGAGAAUUGCUCUCAAAUCCAGCUGCAAUCAAUCAUCUUGGAAAAUACUCUCGUCCCUGAAUUAUACCACUGUGCCCAGUAAUACUGCAGAAGAAUACCUCCCUUCUCAUGCCCUCACUAGCAAAGUUCUACAUCAAGCUUUUGGACUGUUGACAAUACGACAGGAUCUCUUCUGGGUUAUCUACCUGUGGUUGGGAUUGCUGCAGUAACAUGUGUGAAAUGUGAUACCAGUUCAUCUCAGCAACCAGCUCAACAGUGAAUGCUAGAAUUGGUCUACUGUGAUCUGGGAGCAGGUGACCCUGCUUCUAACAAAUUGUCAAGUCACUAGUAACCUGAUGCUACCUCAUAAUGCCUGUAUCAUUCGCUGCACUUCAUCUCAUCACACAGCCAUUUUAUCAUCUCCCUUCACCACAAGAAGAUGAGGACUUGAAUGCAGUGAUCAUGUAAAUUAGAGAAAGGAGACAAAAGUAACUUCUGAAAUAUUCUUCUCAUGUGAUAUUUAUUCUGGAUGAAGCACUAAGAUCGCUCAUAGAGGUGUAUCACUGUAAUUUGCUGCCAGAAGUGUUUUCUUCCAAAAGGCUUUCCUGUGGAGAAUGUGUUUGCCACACCUCUCAGCAGAACCACCAUAAUUGAAUGAACAGAUCAUCUCGCACAUCCAGAAUUCUGAGUUUGCACCUCGUUUUGAUGACUGUUGAAUGACACCGUGCCAUAGUCCGUGACCGUUUGUACAUCAUGAAUAAAGGAGAAUUUUCUCCUCUAAGAGAUUUGAGUCUUGAUCUCUGUAUCGUUCAGCAGGCAAAUUUACUGGCACAGGGAUGUACCCAUUGUCCUGAGAAGAGGGGUGAGGGUACGUGUCUUUUUGGCACAGUGAGGCCCGGACUACGUUGGCAGGUGACUUUCUGAAGCAGAACAUGGGUGUAUCUAUGGAUCUGACCACUGUGAAGAAAUUCUGGCUAUGUUAAAAUGGAGAUGAUACUCCAGACCAGUGCUUCUCAAAUAUUGAUGCGAUUCACCUAGAAAUCUUGUAAAGUACAGAUUCUGACUAAGUCUGAAAUAAAUUCUUGAGAUUUUGCGAUUGAAAUAGCUUUGUAGAUGAUGUAUGUCUUAUCCACUCGGGUUGCUAUAAAAAUGGACCAUAAGCUGGGUCACUGAAACAUUAAUCUCUCACAGUUCUAGAGGCUGGGAAGUCCAAGGGCAGGGCACUGGCAGGUUUGGUGUCAGACGAGGACCCUCUUCCUACUCCAGAUGGUUGUCUUCCUGCUGAGUCCUCACGUGGUGGGAGGAACCCCAGAGCGCUGUCAUGUCUCUUUUUUUUAUUAAAAAAAAUUGUUUAACAUUUAUUUAUUUCUGAAACAGAGACAGAGCAUGAACGGGGGAGGGUCAGAGAGAG